RNAcentral lists this ribosomal RNA (1452 nucleotides) under uncultured Rickettsia sp. RNAcentral's name for it is "bacterial SSU rRNA". It matches the Rfam family "Bacterial small subunit ribosomal RNA". The record is from RNAcentral. Lineage: Bacteria; Pseudomonadati; Pseudomonadota; Alphaproteobacteria; Rickettsiales; Rickettsiaceae.
CACGAACUGCUUUCGGUAUGCUUAACACAUGCAAGUUGGAACGGAUUAAUUUAGGGCUUGCUCUAAAUUAGUUAGUAGCAGACGGCGUGAGUAACACGUGGGAAUCUGCCCAUCAAGUACGGAAUAACAUUUAGAAAUAGAUGCUAAUACCGUAUAUUCAUCUUCGGAGGAAAGAUUUAUCGCUGAUGGAUGAGCCCGCGUCAGAUUAGGUAGUUGGUAGGGUAAUGGCCUACCAAGCCAACGAUCUGUAGCUGGUCUGAGAGGAUGAUCAGCCACACUGGGACUGCAAGACACGGCCCAGACUCCUACGGGAGGCAGCAGUGGGGAAUAUUGGACAAUGGGCGAAAGCCUGAUCCAGCAAUACCGAGUGGGUGACGAAGGCCUUAGGGUUGUAAAGCCCUUCUUCAGCAGGGAAGAUAAUGACGGUACCUGACCAAGACAAGCCGCCGGCUAACUCCGUGCCAGCAGCCGCGGUAAGACGGAGGGGGCUAGCGUUGUUCGGAAUUACUGGGCGUAAAGAGUGCGUAGGCGGUUUAGUAAGUUGGAAGUGAAAGCCCGAGGCUUAACCUCGGAACUGCUUUCAAAACUACUAAUCUAGAGUGUAGUAGGGGAUGAUGGAUAUUCCUAGUGUAGAGGUGAAAUUCUUAGAUAUUAGGAGGAACACCGGUGGCGAAGGCGGUCAUCUCAGGCUACAACUGACGCUGAUGCACGAAAGCGUGGGAGAGCAAUACAGGAUUAGAUACCCUGGUAGUCCACGCCGUAAACGAUGAGUGCUAGAUAUCGGGAGAAAUUCUUUCGGUUUCGUAGCUAACGCAUUAAGCACUCCGCCUGGGGAGUACGGUCGCAAGAUUAAAACUCAAAGGAAUUGACGGGGGCUCGCACAAGCGGUGGAGCAUGCGGUUUAAUUCGAUGUUACGCGAAUAAUACCUUACCAACCCUUGACAUGGUGGUCGCGGGAAGCAGAGAUGCAUCCCUUGCAGUUCGGCUGGACCACACCACAGGUGUUGCAUGGCUGGUCGUCAGCUUCGUGUCGUGAGCAUGUUGGGUUAAGUCUCACGCAACUAGCGCAACCCUCAUUCUUAUAUUGCCAGCGGGUAAUGCCGGGAACUAUAAGGAAACUGCCGGUGAUAAGCCGGAGGAAGGUGGGCGACGAUGUCAAGUCAUCAUGGCCCUUAUGGGUUGGGCUACACGCGUGCUACAAUGGUAUACCACAGAGGGAAGCAAUACGGUAACGUGGAGCAAAUCCCUAAAAGAUAUCUCAGUUCGGAUUGUUCUCUGCAACUCGAGAACAUGAAGUUGGAAUCGCUAGUAAUCGCGGAUCAGCAUGCCGCGGUGAAUACGUUCUCGGGUCCUUAGUACACACUGCCCGUCACGCCAUGGGAGUUGGUUUCUACCUGAAAGGUGGUGAGCUAACGUAAGAGGCAGCCAACCACGGUAAAAUUAGCGACUGGG